UAGCUACUCUGGUAGCUAAGCUUAAACAAGCUAAUUCUCUAAUAUUGAGACAUAUUUCAGCUUAUUGCGUGUUGCCUUGCAACCAACGGUCGGAGCUGCGGACCUCCCGCCCUCCAAAGGCUGCUCCAAGCUGCCCCCCUAAGAGGAAACAGCAUGCUUCGUCGAGGGUCUAUCGAGGACCACCUGAAACGCGAAGACGGAAAUCGGUGGAGGAAAAAGUUGCACAGCAAGAGAAGAGAAGGGUUGAUUAAAAGGAGUUGAUGGGGGGGCAAACAGAGCCUGACUCUGCCUCCUUCACCUCCUCCUUCAGAUGUUUUACAACAUGACUGACAGCUGAAAGGAAACGGCAGAAAUGAUUCCUAAGGUCAUCUCAAGUCUAACUUAAUUUAAGGUGUCCGGCCUGUGGUACAGAUGUGCGCUCACAUCGAAAGAUUGCAGAGGAGACAUGCAGGGGUAUUGGAUUGAAUUCGGUUAUAAUGGCGAGGCUGCUUGCAGUAGUAAUGCUGUAGUAAUCCCUCCUGCACAUGGUUCCCUCGCUCCGAUAAACACCUCGCUCCCAUUGUUUCCUGGACUUCCUUGGUACUUUCGGGCCCCCGUGGUAUCACUUUGCCCAUGGCCUGUGGAGCUUGACAGGCUUCCUACUGUACAAGCUGGGCGGGACGGCGGGGAGGAGCGCUCUCUCACCACUCUCACCUGGGGCUAAUCACCAAUCUGGCACCAGUUAAAGCCUGCCGUCUCCUGUCGACGCAACACGACACACAUGCCAGCACGUUUGCUCAGCCUGCGCGCUGUACCCUGCCCAGCCUUCCACCGAACCUACCAGCAGCCCAGCCCCGAGCCUCACCUCAUGAGCCCCUGCAUGGGAUCACCUGGACACGAGACCCCCCUGAAUAUAUCCUUCCUUUUUGACUUCAAAACUGUCUGCCUCGGAUUUGCUUUUGGAUCCAGUUCUCAUCACCCCUAACUGUAAUGUACUGCAUGAAGCGGGGGCUAUAAACAUCUUUGUCAAUAUAGUUUUCCUACCGGAACUUACUCUGCUGAAACAUUAGCCUCAACAUUAAAAAACACAAACUUAUUCACAUACAGCGGUUUGUAUUAUAUCUUCUGAAAGAUUUCUCCUAAUAUUGUGUUUUUCAACUACCGUGUACCACAGAAUGUUGAAUCAAGUAAAGCAGUGGUCCCCAACCACCGGGCCGCGUGGGCUGUUUGGUACCGGGCCGCACCACAGAAAGCUUGUAUACAUAUUUUUUUUCUGAAAAAUGUUUGAUUUUGACAAUUGACCGGAUUUUCUCCUAAAUAUGUGCGGUCGUCCCUCUGACAUAUUUCCCACGUGUCACCCCCCCGUCGGUCGUUCCGCCCGCAACGACUACUACCC
Molecule: long non-coding RNA, 1375 nt
Organism: Gasterosteus aculeatus aculeatus (three-spined stickleback)
Lineage: Eukaryota; Metazoa; Chordata; Actinopteri; Perciformes; Gasterosteidae
Source: Ensembl